GACGAACGCUGGCGGCGUGCCUAAUACAUGCAAGUUGAGCGAUGAAGAUUGGUGCUUGUCCCAAUUUGAAGAGCAGCGAACGGGUGAGUAACGCGUGGGGAAUCUGCCUUUGAGCGGGGGACAACGUUUGGAAACGAAUGCUAAUACCGCAUAACAACUUUAAACAUAAGUUUUAAGUUUGAAAGAUGCAAUUGCAUCACUCAAAGAUGAUCCCGCGUUGUAUUAGCUAGUUGGUGAGGUAAAGGCUCACCAAGGCGAUGAUACAUAGCCGACCUGAGAGGGUGAUCGGCCACAUUGGGACUGAGACACGGCCCAAACUCCUACGGGAGGCAGCAGUAGGGAAUCUUCGGCAAUGGACGAAGGUCUGACCGAGCAACGCCGCGUGAGUGAAGAAGGUUUUCGGAUCGUAAAACUCUGUUGGUAGAGAAGAACGUUGGUGAGAGUGGAAAGCUCAUCAAGUGACGGUAACUACCCAGAAAGGGACGGCUAACUACGUG
Molecule: ribosomal RNA, 497 nt
Filed under: uncultured bacterium
Lineage: Bacteria
Description: partial 16S ribosomal RNA
Rfam family: Bacterial small subunit ribosomal RNA
Source: RNAcentral